AGUGAACGCUGGCGGUAGGCCUAACACAUGCAAGUCGAACGGCAGCACAGUAAGAGCUUGCUCUUACGGGUGGCGAGUGGCGGACGGGUGAGGAAUACAUCGGAAUCUACUUUUUCGUGGGGGAUAAUGUAGGGAAACUUACGCUAAUACCGCAUACGACCUACGGGUGAAAGCAGGGGAUCUUCGGACCUUGCGCGAUUGAAUGAGCCGAUGUCGGAUUAGCUAGUUGGCGGGGUAACGGCCCACCAAGGCGACGAUCCGUAGCUGGCCUGAGAGGAUGCUCAGCCCCACUGGAGCGGAGACACGGUCCAGACUCCUACGGGAGGCGACAGUGGGGAAUAUUGGACGAUGGGCACAAGCCUGAUCCAGCCAUACCGCGUGGGUGAAGAAGGCCUUCGGGUUGUAAAGCCCUUUUGUUGGGAAAGAAAAGCAGCAGGUUAAUACCCCGCUGUUCUGACGGUACCCAAAGAAUAAGCACCGGCUAACUUCGUG
RNAcentral lists this ribosomal RNA (492 nucleotides) under uncultured bacterium. RNAcentral's name for it is "partial 16S ribosomal RNA". It matches the Rfam family "Bacterial small subunit ribosomal RNA", at positions 29 to 507 of the family's 1533-position model. The record is from RNAcentral.